GACGAACCGUGCGAACGUUGUUCGGAAUCACUGGGCUUAAAGGGCGCGUAGGCGGGCCCGCAAGUCAGGGGUGAAAUGCCACGGCUCAACCGUGGAACGGCCUCGGAUACGGGCGGUCUCGAGGGGGGUAGGGGCAUCUGGAACUGUGGGUGGAGCGGUGAAAUGCGUUGAGAUCCACAGGAACUCCGGUGGCGAAGGCGAGGUGCUGGACCCCAUCUGACGCUGAGGCGCGAAAGCCAGGGGAGCAAACGGG
Molecule: ribosomal RNA, 253 nt
Filed under: uncultured bacterium
Lineage: Bacteria
Description: partial 16S ribosomal RNA
Rfam family: Bacterial small subunit ribosomal RNA
Source: RNAcentral